AACGAUAUGAGCAGAUGCAAACAAAAGAUGGCAGGAAUGGCAGAAGUCGGAAUUCCUAUAGAGAGAAGAAGGGAGAGGAGAGAUGUAGAAGGGACGUACUCUUUAAUAUAUCUGGAUGGGAGGGGGUAAUCUUGUUAAACCCUGUUGUGCUGGGGAUAGAGCAUUGCAAUUAUUGCUUUUCAACGAGGAAUACCUAGUAGGUAAGAGUCAUCAGCUCGUGCCGAUUACGUCCCUGUCCUUUGUACACACCGCCCGUCGCUACUACCGAUUGAAUGGCUCGGUGAGGCCUCUGGACUGGCCCAGGGGGCAAGCGUGAUUGAUUUAUACUGGACCUGAACAAACACCUCUUGUUUUUAAUCUAUAUUCCUAAUAUGGCCUAAUUGUCACUGUUAUCAGAUUGUAUUUUCUGAUCCGCCUGCAUUGUAUACAAAAACGCCUUUAUAUUGUCGCUUUAUUUGCCUAUCUAUACUAUAAAUACUCUGUAUAUAAGACUGUAUGAAAAAGG
This 505-nucleotide non-coding RNA is filed under the name Aspergillus bombycis. RNAcentral describes it as "Eukaryotic small subunit ribosomal RNA". It matches the Rfam family "Eukaryotic small subunit ribosomal RNA", at positions 1502 to 1758 of the family's 1831-position model. The record is from Rfam by way of RNAcentral. Lineage: Eukaryota; Fungi; Ascomycota; Eurotiomycetes; Eurotiales; Aspergillaceae.